UGGGCCUGCCUUAAUUUUCAAUAUCAUGGAAAUUACUGCUGUGUCUCAUACAUACAGCUUAGCAUCCCGGAUGCUCACUUACCAGAGCUCAACAUGGGACAUUCCCAUGUGCAGGCAAUGAAUGCCCUUGAAGUCAGGGAAAUUUAUACAACUUGGAUGCAUCUGCCCUUUCCACUGUUUAUACCUGACAUGAAGAUAGGCUCAUGGCUGUCUUUGUGGUGACAUCUCUUACUUCAUUUGUGUUUGCCAGAUGUCUCAUUCUGGGCCUAAACCCUGAGUGACAUUCAAUGUGGUCUUUUGAUUCAUAGACCACAUGAUGAAGACUGAUUUUUUUAGAGUUGUGUGGGUUGGAGGCAUUAUUGGGGACAGGGUUGGAGACUCCUAAUUGGGAAGCUGAUGGUGGACACUGAAUAUUGUUUGUUUCUUGGUCCAGGAAUUAUCAUUGCCCUGAGGGAAAUCCCUGUUCUGGGAGCCAACAUAACCUGGCUCUGACAGUGAGAAUGAUCCACAGGAAUUACCACUGUGCUGAGGAAAGUCCCUGAUCUGGGAGCCAGCGUAUCCUGGCCCUGACAGUGAGUGUGCUCCCCAGGAAACUGUGAAUGCCCACCCCAAGUCCCCCUUGGAGAGAUGAACCACAAAUGUGUCACCUUUUUUCCAGUGCUGAACAGAAGUUCAGUGCCAAAGAAGAAUACUUCCCCAACCUGUUUGAUCACAAAUGCUUUGAUGCCCAAGGGUGCAGACCCAUAUGGCACUGUGACCAUUCUUCUCUUCUCCCAUGAAAGCAGGUAUAUUUAUAGUAUUUCAACUGAAUAUAUAUCAUUUAUUUCCUUCAUCUGGACAUAUUUGAAAGCUGCUGAACCAUCCUCUUAAAGAAUUUUCUUCAAACUGUGUUUAUCCAGUGUUUCUUCAUGAUGAGAUUGAGUUUAUGAAUUUCAGGCAGGUAUGGAAGAAAAUUAUUUGCCUUCAAGUUGUUUUUUUAAAAUGAUUUUUUAAUUUUUAUUUUUUUAUGUAUUUAUUUUAUUUUAAACUUUAUAAACUAAAACAAUGCACAAACCUCAAAUAUCACCAUCUUAUAACAAAACAAAGCAAAGUUUCAGAAAGUCAAAUAAUCUGAAAUAACCACUUUGCUUCCAUCAUUGUCCAAGUUUGCAUUAAUGUGCUACCUUCUAUCCAGUUUAUUCAAGAUUUGUAAUAUUAUAAACUGUACUCUUCAUACCAUCCAUGUGUUUUCUUAAGGGUCUUGUUUAUUGCUGCACAGUCUUGUGUUUCUUAUUUCCCUUUCUUGUCAUCUAGUUCCAAUUAGACUACUUUGUAUCCCUCAUAUCCACUUUCAAAUAUUGCCUCCUCUUCUGAAAUUUUUUUGUAAUUAAAAUUUUUAUAAAUUUUCCCCCUUAUUUUUCAAGGUUUCUAAAUAUCCUUCC
Long non-coding RNA from Choloepus didactylus (southern two-toed sloth), 1421 nucleotides. RefSeq lists it as uncharacterized. The transcript has 3 exons. The record is from RefSeq and is a predicted model, not a curated record. Lineage: Eukaryota; Metazoa; Chordata; Mammalia; Pilosa; Megalonychidae.